UCAAGCUACAAAGGGCGCAUGGUGAAUGCCUUGGCAUCAGGAGCCGAUGAAGGACGUGAUAAGCUGCGAUAAGCUUCGGGUAGGCGCACAUAGCCUGAGAUCCGAAGAUCUCCGAAUGAGGAAACUCACAUGGGAAACCCCAUGUAUCAUUAAGUGAAUACAUAGCUUAAUGAAGGUAACCCAGGGAACUGAAACAUCUAAGUACCUGGAGGAAGAGAAAGAAAAAUCGAUUUUCUUAGUAGCGGCGAGCGAAAGGGAAAGAGCCCAAACCGGAAACUUGUUUCCGGGGUUGUGGACAUAACAUAAAAGUGGAGGCUAUUGUAACUGAAGAGAACUGGAAAGUUCCACCGUAGAAGGUAAUAGUCCUGUAAGUGAAACGAGAAGACCACGAGUUAUGAUCCAGAGUACCACGAGACACGUGAAACCUUGUGGGAAGCAGGGAGGACCACCUCCCAAGGCUAAAUACUACCUGAUGACCGAUAGUGAAGCAGUACCGUGAGGGAAAGGUGAAAAGAACCCCGGGAGGGGAGUGAAAUAGAACCUGAAACCGUGUGCCUACAACCGCUCAGAGCCCCUUAUGAGGGUGAUGAGGUGCUUUUUGUAGAACGAGCCAACGAGUUACGGUAUGUAGCAAGGUUAAGUACUUAAGGUACGGAGCCGAAGGGAAACCGAGUCUGAAUAGGGCGACUAGUUGCAUGCCGUAGACCCGAAACCGGGUGACCUAUCCAUGGCCAGGUUGAAGCGAGGGUAAAACCUCGUGGAGGACCGAACCACGUUGCUGUUGAAAAAGCAUGGGAUGAGCUGUGGAUAGCGGAGAAAUUCCAAUCGAACCCGGAGAUAGCUGGUUCUCUCCGAAAUAGCUUUAGGGCUAGCGUCGAGUAUGAGUAGUGGAGGUAGAGCACUGAAUGGGCUAGGGGGCAUAGCGCUUACCGAACCUUAUCAAACUCCGAAUGCCACAUACUUUGAGCUCGGCAGUCAGACUACGAAUGAUAAGAUCCGUGGUCAAAAGGGAAACAGCCCAGAUCGUCAGCUAAGGUCCCAAAGUGUAAGUUAAGUGGGAAAGGAUGUGAGAUUUCUAAGACAACUAGGAUGUUGGCUUAGAAGCAGCCAUUCAUUAAAAGAGUGCGUAAUAGCUCACUAGUCGAGAGAUCUUGCGCCGAAAAUGUAACGGGGCUAAACUUACCACCGAAGCUACGGGCUUGAACUUAGUUCAAGCGGUAGGAGAGCGUCGUAACCGGGCUGAAGUCGUACCGUAAGGAGCGGUGGACUGGUUACGAGUGAGAAUGUUGGCAUCAGUAGCGAGAUGUGGGUGAGAAUCCCACAGGCCGAAAACCUAAGGUUUCCUCAGGAAGGUUCGUCCGCUGAGGGUUAGUCGGGACCUAAGCCGAGGCCGAAAGGCGUAGGUGAUGGACAACUGGUUGAUAUUCCAGUACCACUACCAUCGUUAUUAUCGAUGGCGUGACGCAGGAGGAUAGUGUGUGCUAGCUAUUGGAUGCUAGUCUAAGCGUUUAGGCAGUGAGAGUAGGCAAAUCCGCUCUCAUAAUGCUGAGGCGUGAUGGGGAAGGUUCCACGGAACCGAAGUACAUGAUUCCACGCUGCCAAGAAAAGCGUCUAGAGAGAGAAGUAGUGCCCGUACCGCAAACCGACACAGGUAGGUGAGGAGAGAAUCCUAAGGCCGGCGGAAGAAUUACAGUUAAGGAACUCGGCAAAUUGACCCCGUAAGUUCGCGAGAAGGGGUGCCUACGAGAGUAGGCCGCAGAGAAUAGGCCCAAGCAACUGUUUAGCAAAAACACAGGUCUCUGCUAAAGCGUAAGCUGAUGUAUAGGGGCUGACGCCUGCCCGGUGCUGGAAGGUUAAGGGGAACACUUAGCGCAAGCGAAGGUGUGAACUUAAGCCCCAGUAAACGGCGGCCGUAACUAUAACGGUCCUAAGGUAGCGAAAUUCCUUGUCAGGUAAGUUCUGACCCGCACGAAUGGCGUAAUGACUUGGGCACUGUCUCAACUGUAAAUCCGGCGAAGUUGUAGUGCGAGUGAAGAUGCUCGCUACCCGCGAUUGGACGGAAAGACCCCGUAGAGCUUUACUGUAGCUUAGCAUUGAGUUUUGGUAUUGUCUGUACAGGAUAGGUGGGAGACUAGGAAACCAGGGCGUCAGCCUUGGUGGAGUCAACCUUGGGAUACCACCCUGACAGUACUGAAAUUCUAACUGGCGGCCAUGAAUCUGGUCACAGGACAUUGUUAGGUGGGCAGUUUGACUGGGGCGGUCGCCUCCUAAAAAGUAACGGAGGCGCCCAAAGGUUCCCUCAGAACGGUCGGAAAUCGUUCGAAGAGUGCAAAGGCAGAAGGGAGCCUGACUGCGACACCCACAAGUGGAGCAGGGACGAAAGUCGGGCUUAGUGAUCCGGUGGUACCUCGUGGGAGGGCCAUCGCUCAACGGAUAAAAGCUACCUCGGGGAUAACAGGCUGAUCUCCCCCAAGAGUCCACAUCGACGGGGAGGUUUGGCACCUCGAUGUCGGCUCGUCGCAUCCUGGGGCUGAAGUAGGUCCCAAGGGUUGGGCUGUUCGCCCAUUAAAGCGGCACGCGAGCUGGGUUCAGAACGUCGUGAGACAGUUCGGUCCCUAUCCGUCGCGGGCGUAGGAAAUUUGAGAGGAGCUGUCCUUAGUACGAGAGGACCGGGAUGGACUGACCUCUGGUGUACCAGUUGUUCCGCCAGGAGCACAGCUGGGUAGCUAAGUCGGGAAUGGAUAAACGCUGAAAGCAUCUAAGCGUGAAGCCAACCUCAAGAUGAGAUUUCCCAUAGCGUAAGCUAGUAAGAUCCCUUGAAGAACACAAGGUUGAUAGGUCGGGGGUGUAAGCAUGGUAACAUGUUCAGCUGACCGAUACUAAUAGAUCGAGGGCUUGACCAA
This 2903-nucleotide ribosomal RNA is filed under the name Clostridium perfringens. RNAcentral describes it as "bacterial LSU rRNA". It matches the Rfam family "Bacterial large subunit ribosomal RNA". The record is from RNAcentral. Lineage: Bacteria; Bacillati; Bacillota; Clostridia; Eubacteriales; Clostridiaceae.